Molecule: ribosomal RNA, 401 nt
Filed under: uncultured bacterium
Lineage: Bacteria
Description: partial 16S ribosomal RNA
Rfam family: Bacterial small subunit ribosomal RNA
Source: RNAcentral
CCUACGGGAGGCAGCAGUGAGGAAUAUUGGUCAAUGGCCGGAAGGCUGAACCAGCCAAGCCGCGUGAGGGAGGAAGGCGCAGAGCGUCGCAGACCUCUUUUGCCGGGGGACAAAAGGCGGGACUAGUCCGGGGCUGAGGGUACCCGGAGAAAAAGCAUCGGCUAACUCCGUGCCAGCAGCCGCGGUAAUACGGAGGAUGCUAGCGUUAUCCGGAUUUAUUGGGUUUAAAGGGUGCGUAGGCGGUGCGGUAAGUCAGCGGUGAAAGGCCCCCGCUCAACGCGGUGACGUGCCAUUGAUACUGCCUUGCUGGACUGCGGCUGCCGUGCGCGGAAUGUGUGGUGUAGCGGUGAAAUGCUUAGAUAUCACACAGAACCCCGAUUGCGAAGGCAUCUCACGAAUCC